This 464-nucleotide ribosomal RNA is filed under the name uncultured bacterium. Its description in RNAcentral is "partial 16S ribosomal RNA". It matches the Rfam family "Bacterial small subunit ribosomal RNA", at positions 338 to 795 of the family's 1533-position model. The record is from RNAcentral.
CCUACGGGAGGCAGCAGUAGGGAAUCUUCGUCAAUGGGCGCAAGCCUGAACGAGCAAUGCCGCGUGAACGAGGAAGGUCUUCGGAUCGUAAAGUUCUGUUGAAGGGGAAAAAGAGCGGAGAGAGUAAAUGGUCUCCGAUGGAUAUUACCCUUCGAGGAAGUCACGGCUAACUCCGUGCACGCAGCCGCGGUAAUCCGUGGGUGGCGAGCGUUAUCCGGAAUGGUGGGGCGAAAGGGUUGCGUAGGCGGCCUGCUAAGUCUGGAGGGAAAGGUACCGGCUAAACAGGUAAAGGCCCUGGAAACUGGCGGGCUAGAGAGCAGGAGAGGGAGGUGGAAUUCCAUGUGUAGCGGUAAAAUGCGUAGAUAUAAGGAAGAACACCAGUGGCGAAGGCGGCCGACUGGCCUGUUACUGACGCUGAGGCACGAAAGCGUGGGGAGCAAAUAGGAUUAGAUACCCCUGUAGUC